Molecule: ribosomal RNA, 19 nt
Filed under: Fagus hayatae
Lineage: Eukaryota; Viridiplantae; Streptophyta; Magnoliopsida; Fagales; Fagaceae
Description: partial 26S ribosomal RNA
Source: RNAcentral
GUCUUACCACGUUGUUCCA